This 4973-nucleotide long non-coding RNA is filed under the name Canis lupus familiaris (dog). RNAcentral describes it as "lncRNA (ENSCAFG00040020228.1)". Lineage: Eukaryota; Metazoa; Chordata; Mammalia; Carnivora; Canidae. The record is from RNAcentral.
AUGCCAAUAAAACUGGAAUAUCACUGGUGCUCUAAAAACCAGAAAUCUUUGAUGCCACCUUGGGAAGCAGAAGGACCCCAGGAAGCCUGGCUUCCUGUCGUGAUCAGUUUGAGGACCGCCUGCAGAAAUGCAGACUCAGCAAAGCGGCGCUCACCACGGGAGAGCCUGCAAAAGGUCAGGGGGAAGGGAGGCAAAGGCAGCCCCACAGAGGUGCCCUGCAUAUUCACACACAGACACGCUGGAAGCAUCCGGCACAGAGCAGAAAAGGUGGUAGAUCUAAGACUGAAAAGCAAAAGCAACAAGGGUGAGCCCGGAGAACAUUAUGGUAAGUGAAAAAAGCCAGACAUAGACACUGCAUAGAUACUGCAUAGAUACUGCAUGAUCUCACUUUCUACGUGGAAUCUAAGAAAGUCAUAGGGCCAGAGUAGAAUGGUAGUUGCUGGAGAUGGCAGGCGGGGUGGGGGCAACGGGGAGAUAUUUGUCAGAGGGCAUACAUUUUUAUAAGUUUCAUAAGAUGAUGAAGCUCUGGGGAUCUGAUGUAUGGUGUAGUGGCUAUAGUUAGUGAGACUAGAGAGUACACUUGAAAUUUGCUAAUAGAGCAGAUCUUAAGCGUUCUCAUCACCACCAUCCUUCCAAAAAAAGGUAACUAUGUAAGGUGAUGGAUGUAUUAAUUGACUUGAUUAUGACAUUCAUUUCACAAUAGAUACAUAUGUUAUUAUUUAGAUUUUAUUUAUUUAUUCAUGAGAGACACACACAGAAAGGCAGACACAUAGGCAGAGGGAGAAGCAGAUUCUCUGCAGGGAGACUGAUGUAGGACUCAACUCCAGGACCAUGGGAUCACACCUUGAGCCCAAGGCAGACACUAGACCACUGAGCCACCCAGGUGCCCUAAUAUAUACAUAUAUUAAGUCCUCAUUGUACAGUUAAAAAAAUCACCUUGUAUAAUCCUAAAAAAAGCAACUUGAUUGGUUUAGGGGUGCCAGAAAAUUUUUUAAAAUUAUUUUUUCAAAAUUUUAUUUUAUUAUUUUUAUUUAUUUAUUUAAAGAUUUUUUAUUUUUUAUUUUUUUUUAAGAUUUUUUUAAAAAGGGAUUUUAUUUAUUUACUCAUGAGACACACACACACACAGAGGCAAAGAUACAGGCAGAGGGAGAAGCAGGCUCCAUGCAGGGAGCCCGACUCAAUCCCGGGUCUCCAGGAUCAUGCCCUGGCUGAAGGGGGCGCUAAACCGCUGAGCCACUCGGGCUGCCCUGGCUGCCCUAUUUUAUUUUUAUUUUUAAAGAGAUUUUAUUUAUUCAUUCAUGAGAGACACAGAGAGAGACGCAGAGACAUAGGCAGAAAAAGCAUGCUCCCUGCAGGGAGCCUGAUGUGGGACUCGAUCCCCAGACCCAGGGAUCAUGCCCUGAGCCAAAGGCAGAUGCUCAAACGCUGAGCCACCCAGAUGCCCCUAUUUUAUUUUUAAGAUUUUAUUUAUUUAUUUGAGAGACAGACUGAGAGAGAGCAAGUACGUGGUGGGGAGGGGCAGAGGGAGAGGGAGAAGCAGAUUCCCUCCUGAGUUGGAAGUCUGACAUGGGGUUCAAUCCUAGUAUGUCAUGUAUGUGACCCAAGCAGACACUUAACCAACUGAGCCACCCAGGCAUCCCAAGGUGUUUUUUUUUUUUUUUUCAGUAAUUUCUACACCCAAUGUGGGGCUCAAACUCAUGACCCUGAGACCAAGAGUUGCAUGCUCUUCUGACUGAGACAGCAGGGUUUCCAGAAACUUUAAAAGUCUAUUUAUUUCCUUUUAGAAAAGAAUGUACUCAUGAAAAAAUGUUUCACGUCACUUGACAUCCAGGAAAUACAAAUCAAAACCACAAUGAGAUACCACCUUAUACCAGUCAGAAUGGCAAAAAUUAACAAGUCAGGAAACAACAGAUCUUGGCGAGGAUGCAGAGACCAGCAAUUGCACUACAAUCCAGUAAUUGCACUACUGGGUAUUUACUCCAAGGAUACAAAUGUAUCCUGAAUCUGAAGGGGCACCUACACUCCAAUGUUUAUAACAGCAAUGUCCAUAAUAGCCAAACAAUGGUAAGAGCCCAGAUGUCUGUCAACAGUUGAAUGGAUAAAGAAGAUGUGGUAUAUACCUAUGCAAUGGAAUAUUACUCAGCAUCACAAAAUGAAAUCUUGCCAUUUUAAAUGACGUGGAUGGAACUAGAUGGUAUUAUGCUAAGUGAAAUAAGUCAAUCAGAGAAAGACAGGUAUCAUCUGAUCUCACUCAUAUGUGGAAUUUAAGAAUCAAAACAGAGGAUCAUAGGGGAGGAAAGGAAAAAAUAAAACAAGAUGAAAUCAGAGAGGGAGACAAACCAUAAGAGACUUAAUCAUAGGAAACAAACUGAGGGGAGUGGGGAGACUGGGUAACUGGGUGAUGGGCAUUAAGGAGGGCAGGUGAUACAAUGAGCACUGGGUACUAUAUAAGACUUUUGAAUCAUGACUUCUACCUCUGAAACCAACAAUACAUUAUAGGUGAAUUAACUGAAUUUAAAUUAUAGAAAAGAAACAAAUAUUUGCCUUUAUUCCAAAGGAAAAAUAAUCUUUUGCUUGUUUGUUAAAGUUUUACAUUUUUAUUUAUUUUUAAAUUGGGAUAAAAUUCACAUAAGAUUAACCAUUUUAAAAUUUUUAUUUAUUUAUUUUAAAUAUUUAUUUAUUUUUUUAGAGAGAGGGAGAGCACACAGCAGGGGGAGGGGAAGGGCAGGGAGAGAAUCUCAAGCAGACUCCUGGCUGAAUGCAGAGCCUGACACAAGGCUUGAUCUCAUGACCCCCACUUAACUGAUUGAGCCCCAUAGGUGCCCCAACCAAUAUUUUUUAAGAUUUUAUUUUUUAUUUUUAUCUUAAAUAUUUAAUUUAUUUAUUUGACAGAUAGAGCGCAAGAAAGCCCAAGCAGGGGGAGUAGCAGAAGGAGAGGGAGAAAGGACGCCAUGGUGGGACCAAUCUCAGAACCCCAGGAUCAUUACUUGAGCUGUAGGCAGGUGAUUAACCAACUGAGCCACCCAGGUACUCUUAAAUAUUUUAUUUUUAAAUAAUCUCUAAACUCACUGUGGGGCUUGAACUUACAACCCUAAGAUGAAGAGUCACAUGCUCCACUGACUGAGUCAGUCAACAGGUUUUAUCCAACGUUUGGCUAUUAUAAGUUAUGCUGCUAUGAACAUUCUUGUGUAUGCCUUUUUUUUUAAUUUAAGAUUUUAUUUAUUCAUGAGAGACACACAGAGAGAGGCAGACAUAUAGGCAGAGGGAGAAGCAUUCUCCCUGAGGCGAGCCUGAUGUGGGACUCAAUCCCAAGACCCUGGGAUCACACCUUGAGCCAAAGGCAGACACUGAACCACUGAGCCAUCCAGGUGCCCUUGUACAUUCUUAAUUUUACUGUAAUUAAAUUUAGUGUUUUCCUUUUGGUUAGUAUUUUUGUGUGUGUGCUAUUAAAGAAGUCCUUCUUGGGCAGCCCCGUGGCUCAGCGGUUUGGUGCUGCCUUCAGCCCGGGGUGUGAUCCUGGGGACCUGGAAUCGAGUCCCACGUCCGGCUCCCUGCGUGGAGCCUGCUUCUCCCUCUGCCUGUGUCUCUGCCUCUCUCUCUAUGUCUCUCAUGAAUGAAUAAAUAAAAUCUUAAAAAAAUUAUUAAAAAAAAAAAAGAAGUCCUUCUAAUCCUUGGGUUGUAAAGAGAGUUUUGGGGACUAUCUCCUGGUUCUGAAUUGUCCAAUAUAGUAGCUACUUGUCACUUUUUUUUUUAACUUUUAUUUAUUUAUGAUAGUCACACAGAGAGAGAGAGAGGCAGAGACACAGAGAGAAGCAGCCAUGCAGAAGCCGAUGGAUCGACUGAUCCCAGAUCCCCCCAGCACGCAACCGCGCACCAGGUCUAUUGUCUUUUUUUUUUUUUUUUUUUUUUCUAGGCAGAGAGAGGCAGAGACACAGGCAGAAGGAGAAGCAGGCAUCAUACAGAGAGCCUGAUGUGGGACUCGAUCCAGGGUCUCCAGGAUCACGCCCCGGGCUGCAGGCGGCGCUAAACCACUGCGCCACAGGGGCUGCCCUACUUGUCACUUUUGAAAUGAGAAUUAAAAUGAAAUAAAAUGAAAAAAAUCAGUCUCUUAGUUCUUUAACUACCUGCCCUAUUGAACUUCUUGGUGGAGGUGGUGACCUCCUAACUGACACAUUCCUUAUGGCCUGGUAAAUACUAUGUCCUUUGAGCCUUUCUGUGAGACACAACAAACAUCUAGUGAGUCUUGCAAUUCAGUGUUCCUAAUACCUUUCAACUCACUUCACCUUCUAUCACGGCAAUACUGGAUCCUUACCCGAACAUUAAGUCCUGUAUCUCCGCAGAGCACUCUCAAGUCAACAAGACUCCUCUUGGGCAGCCCCGGUGGCCCAGCGGAUUGGCACCUGCCUUCAGCCCAGGGCAUGAUCCUGGAGACCUGGGAUCAAGUCCCACAUCGGGCUACCCCCAUGGAGCCUGCUUCUCCCUCUGCCUAUGUCUCUGUCUCUCAUAACUAAAUAAAAAUCCUUAAAAAAAAAAAAACAAGACUCCUCUUUACCCAAUUUUAUCUUCUCCUCCUCCUUUUAAAUUUAUUUUUUAUUUAUUUUUAAAGAUUUAUUUAUUCAUGAGAGACACACAGAGAGAGAGGCAGAGACAUAGGCAGAGGGAGAAGCAGGCUCCUCACAAGAGCCUGAUGUGGGACUCAAUCCCCGAUUCCAGGAUCAUGACCCGAGCUGAAGGCAGCUGCCCAACCGCUGAGCCAUCCAGGCGUAACUUUUAAAUUUAUUUAUGAGAGAGAAAGAGAGACAGAGAACAAGAAUGAGCAGUGGGAGGGGCAGAGGGAGAGAGACAGAGAGAAUAAGAUUUCCCGGUGAGAAGGAAGCCUGAUGGGGAACUUGAUUCCAGGACCUGGAAAUCACAAUCCAAGCCAAAGGCAGACACAACCAAUUGAGCCUCUCAGGUGCCCCUGUUCUGGCCCC